UACGUAGGGUGCAAGCGUUAAUCGGAAUUACUGGGCGUAAAGCGUGCGCAGGCGGUUAUAUAAGACAGAUGUGAAAUCCCCGGGCUCAACCUGGGAACUGCAUUUGUGACUGUAUAGCUAGAGUACGGCAGAGGGGGAUGGAAUUCCGCGUGUAGCAGUGAAAGGCGUAGAUAGGCGGAGGAACACCGAUGGCGAAGGCAAUCCCCUGGGACUGUACUGAAGCUCAUGCAAGAAAGCGUGGGGAGAAAACAGGCUUAGAUACCACUGGAGUCC
This 273-nucleotide ribosomal RNA is filed under the name uncultured bacterium. RNAcentral describes it as "partial 16S ribosomal RNA". It matches the Rfam family "Bacterial small subunit ribosomal RNA", at positions 524 to 796 of the family's 1533-position model. The record is from RNAcentral.